Schizosaccharomyces pombe (fission yeast) is the source of this 265-nucleotide non-coding RNA. Lineage: Eukaryota; Fungi; Ascomycota; Schizosaccharomycetes; Schizosaccharomycetales; Schizosaccharomycetaceae. The record is from the annotation of a GenBank genome assembly.
AUCAAAACUUGAAUUCUGACUAAGGUUGGAAAUAGCAUCAUUAACCGUAUCAAUGCUGUAAAGUUCCUCUGAAAGCAAAGUCAUCACUGAAGGUGCAUCAACAUUGGCUGAAAAGGCAUUGGCAAUACUUAGCAUUUCAGGUAAAUUGGACGCGAGCUUUAAUAGAAUUAGGUAUUGUGCUUGUGAGAGAUGAAUUAAAAGCUCAGAAAUUCCACAAUGUAAAUCAAUUGCAUAAUUUGUUAUAGCAGAAUCGACAGCCUGUACG